UGGGGAAUAUUGGACAAUGGGCGAAAGCCUGAUCCAGCAAUACCGCGUGUGUGAAGAAGGCCUGAGGGUUGUAAAGCACUUUCAAUGGGAAGGAAUACCUGCUGGUUAAUACCCGGCAGACUGACAUUACCCAUACAAGAAGCACCGGCUAACUCCGUGCCAGCAGCCGCGGUAAUACGGAGGGUGCAAGCGUUAAUCGGAAUUACUGGGCGUAAAGCGUGCGUAGGCGGUUAUUUAAGUCAGAUGUGAAAGCCCUGGGCUUAACCUGGGAACUGCAUUUGAUACUGGGUGACUAGAGUUGAGUAGAGGAGAGUGGAAUUUCAGGUGUAGCGGUGAAAUGCGUAGAGAUCUGAAGGAACACCAGUGGCGAAGGCGGCUCUCUGGACUCAAACUGACGCUGAGGUACGAAAGCGUGGGUAGCAAACA
RNAcentral lists this ribosomal RNA (426 nucleotides) under uncultured Methylomonas sp. Its description in RNAcentral is "partial 16S ribosomal RNA". It matches the Rfam family "Bacterial small subunit ribosomal RNA", at positions 355 to 774 of the family's 1533-position model. Lineage: Bacteria; Pseudomonadati; Pseudomonadota; Gammaproteobacteria; Methylococcales; Methylococcaceae. The record is from RNAcentral.